Molecule: ribosomal RNA, 466 nt
Filed under: uncultured bacterium
Lineage: Bacteria
Description: partial 16S ribosomal RNA
Rfam family: Bacterial small subunit ribosomal RNA
Source: RNAcentral
GACGAACGCUGGCGGCGUGCUUAACACAUGCAAGUCGAACGGAAAGGCCCUGCUUGCAGGGUACUCGAGUGGCGAACGGGUGAGUAACACGUGGGUGCUCUGCCCUGCACUUCGGGAUAAGCUUGGGAAACUGGGUCUAAUACCGGAUAGGAGCCAUCUUUUGUGUGGUGGUUGGAAAGUUUUUUCGGUGUAGGAUGAGCUCGCGGCCCAUCAGCUUGUUGGUGGGGUAAUGGCCUACCAAGGCGGCGACGGGUAGCCGGCCUGAGAGGGUGUACAGCCACAUUGGGACUGAGAUACGGCCCAGACUCCUGCGUGAGGCAGCAGUGGGGAAUAUUGCACCAUGGGCGCAAGCCUGAUGCAGCGACGCCGCGUGUGGGAUGAAGGCCUUCGGGUUGUAAACACCUUUCGCUAGGGACGAAGCUUUUUUGUGACGGUACCUAGAGAAGAAGCACCGGCUAACUACGUG